Molecule: non-coding RNA, 21 nt
Filed under: Caenorhabditis elegans
Lineage: Eukaryota; Metazoa; Nematoda; Chromadorea; Rhabditida; Rhabditidae
Source: RNAcentral
UAGUAUGUUUCCGAUGAAAAC